AUUGAACGCUGGCGGCAGGCCUAACACAUGCAAGUCGAGCGAGCGGCGGACGGGUGAGUAAUGUAUGGGGACUGCCCGCUAUAGGGGGAUAACUACUGGAAACGGUGGCUAAUACCGCAUACUAUCGGAUCACCCAUAUGGGCUUAGCUAGUAGGUGGGGUAAAGGCUCACCUAGGCGACGAUCCCUAGCUGGUCUGAGAGGAUGACCAGCGAGACUGGAAAUGAGGCACGGGCCAGACUCCUACGGAGGCAGCAGUGGGGAAUAUGGCACAAUGGGCGCAAGCGUGAAGCAGCCAAGCCGCGUGUAUGAAGAAGGCCUUCAGGUUGUAAAGUUCUUACAGCGAGGAGGCGUUACUCGGAGAAGAAGCGCCGGCUAACUCCGUGCCAGCAGCCGCGGUAAUUC
RNAcentral lists this ribosomal RNA (403 nucleotides) under uncultured bacterium. RNAcentral's name for it is "partial 16S ribosomal RNA". It matches the Rfam family "Bacterial small subunit ribosomal RNA", at positions 30 to 526 of the family's 1533-position model. The record is from RNAcentral.